Long non-coding RNA from Passer domesticus (house sparrow), 6882 nucleotides. RefSeq lists it as uncharacterized. NCBI's taxonomy places the organism in Eukaryota, Metazoa, Chordata, Aves, Passeriformes, Passeridae. The transcript is spliced from 2 exons. The record is from RefSeq and is a predicted model, not a curated record.
UGGCCUGCUGGGACCCAAGUCACCAGGUCCCGCCGGCCAGUCGGAGACUCCGCGCCUCAGCUUGCCUGAUCUCAUCCUCCGAGGAUGAUGGGAACGCUGACAUCCCUAGCAGCACCAUCAGGCUGGGAGGAAGGUGGACAUGCGCCAUCAGGGAAAAAGCCUUACAGGAGGGUGAUUUGGGUUUGGUGUGGGACCUUGAUUGCUUUGCGGCUCCAGUCAUUAUGAACCAAGGGACGGAACCGUGAUGGGAGCACAUUCCCUACACCGAGGUGAAGGAGUUGAAAAAGACGGCCAAGGACUAUGGCUGCAAUUCACCAUAUUUUAAAAAUGUUCUAGAUCUAACUUUUACUCGACACACCUUAAUUCCCCGUGAUUUACAAUAUAUUACUACCGCAUUGCUCUCUCCCACUGAAUUUUUACUAUGGGAAAUGCAAUGGAAAAAGCUGUUGAAGCCCAUUCUUUCCAAAUGUGAUUUAGGUGCUGUGCUGGGAGAAGGGGAAGAAGGCCUUGAAGCUUUGGCGGGGGAGGGGGAGUUCUCUAGUUUGGAAGACCAGGUCAUGUUACCUGCUGCUGUCUUAGAUGACAUCAAAACUGCUGCAAAAAAGUGGUAUUUUAAAAAUACCUGACGGAACUACCCCCCUCUAAAACUUUUCUUUGAUCCAUCAAGGGAUUGAAGAGAUAUUUAUUAAAUUUGUCGACCACGUCCGAGAGGCCAUUGAACACCAGAUAGACAAUGUUGAUUCCAGGGAUGAGCUCUUGAGGAAAAUGGCAAUGUCCAACGCCAAUGUGGAAACAAAAAAUAUCCUCAGAGCUCUCCCCCAGGAGCCCGAGCCAACCAUACCACAGAUGGUCAAUGCAUGCACCAAGGCCUCCUCUCUAGAAAACAUCUGGGCCUUGGCUGUCAGUAAGGGAGUCGGGGAGGCAGUGGUGAACAUAAACAAUGUCAGGUGUUUUAACUGUGGCCAAUUAGGCCAUUUCCAAGGUAACCGUCCUCAUUUGCCCCCCGGACAUUUUAAUUCACCCUCUGUGCCUUCACCAAGAAUGCCCAGAAACCACCAAUCCCUAUUUGCCCCAGACAUUUUAAUUCCCCCUAUGUGCCUUUGCCAAGAAUGCCUGGAAACCACCAAUCCCCACACCAUCCGGGAAACAGGUGGCAGAGCGCGUGGCAGCUCCACGCGGAGACACCAAAUGGCAGGCCGUGUCACCAAAGUCUCCCGACCAUCCAGGAGACCCAGUUCCCGGACAGCUCAUUUCCCAGGAUCGGAGCCAUGAAGAAGGACUCAGGCCCUUCAGGAGAACCCGCAACAUAAACCAAGACACUGGUAGGAUUUUAUACAGCUGCAUCCACCUGUUUUUCGUCGACGAGGAUCUGGUAAGGUCUCUGCAGGGUACCUGGGUCCCCCUUACCACGACCACAGCACCACCGUGUUCCUCCUCGGAGACUCUCGCAUUACACCGCACAAACUUACCGUCCUCCCCGAGGUGGUGACCAUCGAUCCUGGAAAUGAAAUCACUGGUUCUGUAAUGUGUUAUAACCCACCCUAUACCCUGUGCAAAGGGUCCCCCUUUGCUCAAAUGUAUAUUUUAUCCGGACAAGACUAUCCAAAUGAUGACAAGGAUGUCCAUGUUUAUUACUCUAAGAAUUUAAGUAGGCAAAGACCACCUAUCUCCUCUGUUAUAUCCCAAAAAGGGUGAUUCGUCGAACUGGACGUGAUGGCAGACACCGAUGCAGAUAUUACCAUUCUUCACAGGGCAGAGUGGCCUCGCGACUGGGAGUUCAUGUCCCCUUGUGGCACAAUUUCUGGCAUCAGGGAAGCUGUCAAUUCCUUGCGAAGCAAGCAUCUGGUAAGCGUGGAAGGGUCUGAGGGGCAGAUUGUCACCACUUGGCCAUUUGUUGUUUCUUCUAACAUCAGAUUACUUGGAAGGGAUGUUUUGUCCCAGUGGGGAGCCUGCCUCAAUAUCCCUGACCCCAAGUGGGAUUUUUAGUAUGGGCCACUGCAGAGUGCACAGCCUCACCUCUGAAUUGGAAGACCAACACACCAGUGUGGGCGGAUCAGUGGCCCCUCCCAGAAGAAAAAUUGACCGCGCUGCAUGAAUUAGUUGAGGAGCAAUUGUGCCUGGGGCACCUUGUACCAUCCACCAGUCCCUGGAUCACCCCUGUCUUUGUUACUAUAAUCCUGGCAAAGACAAGUGGCACUUGCUGCAAGACCUACGUAAGGUCAAUGAGGUUGUCGAGGAUAUAGGCCCCCUACAACCUGGCCUCCCUUCUCCCUCCAUGCUUCCUCGGGAUUUGCAGCUCACGAUCCUUGAUAUCAAGGAUUGCUUUUUGAACAUCCCGCUGUACCCCGGAGAUGUUCCCAGGUUUGCAUUCUCUGUUCCAUCUGUCAGCCAUGGAGAGCGCUUCAAAAGAUAUCACUGGGUCACUUUGCCCCAGGGAAUGAAAAAUUCCCCGGUGCUCUACCAAACUUUUGUCACACAAGUGUUGUCUCCUGUGUGCAAGAUGCUCCUAGAAGCUAUAAUCUUACACUACAUGGACAACGUACUAAACUUAGACUCAGCACUAUCCAACACUGUGGCAGCAAUCGAAAACAGGAUUUCAGAUAGCUGAGGACAAAAUUCAGCUAUCGAGCCCAUGGAAGUACCUCAGGUUUUUAAUCAUGGGAAGGACCAUCAUGCCCCAAAGCUUGUCCAUCAACGAACAUCCUAAGACCUUAAGAGAUAGGCAACAGCUGUGCAGUAUCAUCACAUGGAUCCAACCUUUCCUGGUCUUCACCACAAAGGAGGUGGCACCGCUCAUCCACUUUCUGCAGGGAGAUGGCGACCUGGCUUCCCCACGCUCGAUAACACCGGAAGUCCCUGAGGCCUUGGAGAAAGUUGCUGAUGCCAUCAAGCACUGCCAGGCACAUCGGAUUGACCGGUCCCUUCCCCUCAAUCUCGGUAUUUUUUGUAAGUGCCGAACUUCCAUGCAUUGCUUUUUCAGUGGGAUGACUUUUCCAAAGACCCACUCAUUAUUAUCGAGUGGCUUUUUCUGCCGCACCAACCACACAAGACAGUCACCACUCCACGGGAACUCAUAGCCAAACUUAUUAUCAAAGGCCGACAUGGUCUCCGGACCCUUGCAGCUUGUGAUCUGGCGUGCAUUUAUCUUCCUUAUUCCCUUGAACAAUUGGAUUCUCUAUUACGAACAAAUGAACAUCUUGAAAUUCCAUUAGACAGCUAUCCCGGACAAAUUUAAAUUCAUUAACCUAAACAUAGGCUUUUUAGAGAUUCACUACAUUUGGCUCCAAAAUCAUACAAAAGCAAAACCCCAAUCAAGAAGCUGUCACAGUGUUCACUGAUGGUUCAGGCAAAUCCCACAAGUCAGUGUUCACCUGGAGGGACCUGGACACUCAGAAGUGGGACUCUGAUGUCCAGGUUGUUGAAGGUUCCCGCCAGAUUGCAGAACUCGCUACAGUUGUGAGAGCAUUCCAAAAAUUUCAACAACCCUUUAAUUUGGUCACAGAUUUGACGUAUGUUGCCGGGAUAGCAGAGCGAGCAGAGCAUGCCCUGCUCAAAGAAGUACAGAAUAAAAAAUUAUAUAGCUUGCUCUCUGAAUUAAUUUGGCUCAUCUCCCACAGAGAGCAACCUUAUAACGUCCUGUACCACACAGAGCUGCCAGGAUACAUCACUGAGGGCAACGGGAAGGCAGACUUGUUAGUGAUGGCGGUGAAUGCCACUCACAUUUCCCCAGCUGUACCACAAGUCUUUCAACAGGCUCGUCUAAGUCACACAUUUUUUCAUCAGAAUGCUCCCACUUUAGUGCAUCAAUUGAAGACCUCCAGAGACCAAGCCAAAGCAAUUGUCUCCACCUGCCCCAAUUGCCAGUCCCUAGCCCUUCCAUCUGUAGCAUCAGGGGUCAACCCCCAAGAGGCUUGGGAGCUCUGGAAUUGUGGCAAACUGAUGGGACACACGACACCCCAUUUGGACUCCUCAAAUACAUACACAUCUCAGUAGACACAUUCUCUGGAGUUGUGUUCGCAUCCACCCACACAGGAGAGAAAACAAAAGAUAUCAUAAAGCCUUUCUAUAUGGCAUUUGCCAACCUAGGCGUCCCAAAAGCUAUAAAAACAGAUAACGGCCGUGGGUUCAGCACAAAUCAGUUUAAGGAAUUCACACAAUUGUGGGGCAUCAGCCACUGUACUGGCAUCCCUUAUAACCCCCUGGCCAGUCAGUAGUUGAGAGAGUGCACAAAGAAAUAAAAAGAAUGCUUGAGCAACAGCACAAUGCUGAUCUAACCAUGUUUCCAACAGAGAGACUUUGCAAAGCACUUUAUGUCAUUUACUUUACAAACUGUUCUCUAAGAGAGCCAAAUCCGCCCAUUCUCAGGCAUUUCCAUACCAACACCUAUGCACAUUUAAAGGAGAGACCUCCUGUUUUAAUAAAAGACCCAGACUCAAAAUGUAUUAAAGGUCUGUACCCCCUGAUAACCUGGGGAAGAGGGUACGGGUGUGUUUCCACAGAGCAGGGCCCACGAUGCAUCCCAGGGAAAUUCAUCAAACCCUCCCUGGACACCGCAGCAGAUGAUAAUACUACAUCAGACUACCUCAACGUGCCCCCACCGCAGAACAGUUCCGAGAACGCUGUUGCCUGGCGACGCCAAAGAAAGAAGCCUGUCCAGCCAAACAUCAUUGCUGAAGUUCUAAUAUUUUGUUAUAUUGGAAAUAUUUUCCAAUGUUAAAUGACUCUACAGGUUCCUUUAUACCCUCUCCUGAAAUCCCAGUAGCAUUUCCCUCAUACCACUUCCCUCGAUCUCUCCCGUAACCCCUACCCAUUACCCCCAUAACCAACCUUACCUAUGUCUUUAACCUAUUAAUUAAAAUUAGGAGGACACAGAAAGAAAAACCAAAGAUCUAAUAUAUAGUGGGGACAAAACAAAGAAAAUAACCGUGACAACUAACUUUACUAUUCCUGUUUCUAUCAGUGCUCAAACAGUCUAUACCUGAUUCAUUUGAGAAGCAGAUGCCCACUCCCAGGACACCCCAAAACAUCUUAAGAGCGGCCACCACCAUCACUGCCCUCCUGUGCAUCCAAACAUCGGUCGGAUGGGUCGUGCCACAACCGAAAGAAAAUGUAUAGAUCACACUAGUGAAAUCUCUCAAACAAGAUAAUUUUUGCAUGGCCAUGGGAAGCGUAGAAGACCUGCUGUCUACAUGUCUGGAGGGAAUCCCCCUGUCACCAAACGAAUACCCAUAUACAGGUAAGAAACCCACCCCAAUGUAGACUUGGGAUGAUUGGAUGACGACUCUACCACAUGCACCACAAGAGCCCCAGCAACUAGACCUACUGGGCUCCUCAAAAGCGACUUACUGUGUAAAUUUUUCUGUGAACCACCCAAACAAAAUUGUCCGGAAAUAACUAAGCCACAGAUGAUUGUGAGAAAAGAUGUAUCUCCAAAUGAUAAAAGAUACAACGUUGUUGAGUGGUGCAAUUAUACUGCUGAAACAUUGUCUAAGUCCUCUCCAUUUCCCAGAGUGCUCCCCAGGGCAGUAUUUCUCAUCUGCAGCCACAGGGAUCCCCUUGAAGAUCAAAGGAGGCCCCUGCAGCCUUGAUCAGCUUACGACCCUUACCCCAACACUACUCAAAUUAAAUAUUGGAAGUGAGAAACUCAAUUGACACACCAAAAACGAUCAAACUCUCAAUUCAACCAAAAUUGUGAUGACCAAAUUUACAACAGGGGCAAGACGAAGAGGGGUAGCUGUGUCCAUAUUUUUGCCAUGGGUUGCAGCUGCCAAGGCUCUCGGUGAGCUUUCUCACCUGGAGUGCUGGCUCAGUAAGCCGACCAACGCUACAUCUGCCACCCUAUCAGACCUCUUGGUGGACAAAGAAACCACCAGACAUGCCACCCUCCAGAACAGAGCGGCAAUCAACUUCCUGCUGCUCGCCCAUGGCCAUGGUUGUGAGGAUUUUGAAGGACUUUGUGGUUUUAACCUUUCUUCAAGAAGCACGUCGAUCUGAGCCAACAUCAACCAAAUGCAAGACCAAAUGAAGACUCUUCUUACUGAUAAGAAGGUUGUGGACAUGAUGGACAAAACACUUAUGCAAUGGGGCGUUCCUGGGAGAGUGGCCCCCAUUCUUAAGAGUUUACAGUGGGUCUUUCUCAUCCUUGCUGUACUCUCAACAGCACUGAAGUGUUUUAAGAAAACCAGGGACAAAACUUUAGGAAAUGUUUAUUUAAUAAAUAAAAAGGGGGAAUAUGUGGGAGAUAGUCAUGGGAAUGAUGGGGCUGGAAUGCCCUGGGAGGACAGUGCUGUUUAGUUAGAGGCUGGCACAAAUCCCCAGGAGUCUCUGGUUGUUAAUGUGCUGUUGUCACUCAACUGCUGUUCAUCCCCCUGUUCUAGAGAGUUCUGUGCCCCCUCUUCCCCCACUGGCUUUCCCUGGGAAACCACCCCCACUCUGCUCCCUCACUGGUGGACCCCCAGUCAUCCCAUUUCAACUCCUCCCCCGACUCCCUUCCCCAUUGCAUGAUUUGUACCCUGACCCCUCCUACCUUUCCCCAGUGAUAUACCCUGGCCCAUCCCCUGCUGGUUGCUCUUGGCCCCUGGUUCUCUUCAGCAGAGGUUGUGCUCCUGUUUGUUCUCCUCACCCUCACCCCACGUGGACCCCUGGAUCUUCCCUAAACAAACCCUGCUGGAUCUGCCAAGCCAAGAGUGCCCUCGUCUGUCUGAGACUCCUGAAACUUAUGUUGGUUUGAUGUGACCAACAGAAGAGUUUGGCUCUGCUUUUAAUUGAAACAAGCAGCAGAGCUGGAACCUGUUGAAGAGAGUCUCUUCACAGCUAAAGGAAACUGCCAGGGUUCUUUUUUUCCAGCUCGGGGCAGGAAAAUAAAAAUCUCUCCGCAGUAAA